GGACAUACGUAUAAAAGGUUACAUAUUAUUAUACAAACAAAGAAAUUUACAGGGUAUACGUCCAAUGGGGCUAGCGCAAACGGGACAACAAGACCCAUGCAGGGCGCCACCCCUAUACAUACCCGUAUAAUAACGUGUUGACAUUAGUUUUACUAUGAAACAUUAUAAAAUGUCGUUUGCUAUGUGACUUGAAAGAUAUAAGCUGCCACUCGUUUUCAAAUUAGUUUUACCAGAUAAUGAGCUUUGAUAGAUAACUGCUGGCCAGUAUCUAUCUAGACAAUAUUUCUUCCCCACGGAAUAACUACCGGCUGUCCCAAAAAAACUGGACACUGUUUGAUUUCAUGUAACGUAAAAGCUGCAAAAGCUAUCGCAAUUAAA
Non-coding RNA from Paramuricea clavata, 378 nucleotides. The record is from the annotation of a GenBank genome assembly. Lineage: Eukaryota; Metazoa; Cnidaria; Anthozoa; Malacalcyonacea; Plexauridae.